GGCGUGGCCGUGGCGAUGCUGAUGUGGAAGAAACCUGGAAGUAACAAUGUAGAAGGAACUCAACGUGACAAAGGAUUUGCUUAGGAGACAUGAAGUCACACAAAGAAGAAUUUAGCUAAAGAAGCGCUGCCUCCAAAAACGUCCCCAACAUAAGUAAUCUGCUAACCAGGAAAUCCCAGACCCCAACACCUAUCUGAGGACACCUGAAAACUAUCAUGGAGCCCUGCACCUGAGAUUCUUGGAAUGGCUCCCCAUUCGGUACCUUAGCCUUCAACCAAGGGCAUUUGCCCACCCCUCCCCCCAAAACUAUGCAACCCUUAGUUCACCCGGGAUACAAGAUCACCCCAAAUAAAUAUGUACAAGCUAA
Molecule: long non-coding RNA, 367 nt
Organism: Mus musculus (house mouse)
Lineage: Eukaryota; Metazoa; Chordata; Mammalia; Rodentia; Muridae
Product: predicted gene, 39036
Exons: 2
Source: RefSeq, a predicted model, not a curated record